AGCGAACGCUGGCGGCAGGCCUAACACAUGCAAGUCGAACGGACCCUUCGGGGUUAGUGGCGGACGGGUGAGUAGCACGUGGGAACGUGCCCUUUGGUUCGGAACAACACAGGGAAACUUGUGCUAAUACCGGAUAAGCCCUUCGGGGGAAAGAUUUAUUGCCAUUGGAGCGGCCCGCGUUGGAUUAGGUAGUUGGUGAGGUAAAGGCUCACCAAGCCUGCGGUCCAUAGCUGGUCUGAGAGGAUGAACAGCCACAUUGGGACUGAGACACGGCCCAAACUCCUACGGGAGGCAGCAGUGGGGAAUCUUGCGCAAUGGGCGAAAGCCUGACGCAGCCAUGCCGCGUGAAUGAUGAAGGUCUUAGGAUUGUAAAAUUCUUUCAGCGGGGGCGAUAAUGACGGUACCCGCAGAAGAAGCCCCGGCUAACUUCGUGCCAGCAGCCGCGGUAAUACGAAGGGGGCUAGCGUUGCUCGGAAUUACUGGGCGUAAAGGGAGCGUAGGCGGAUAGUUUAGUCAGAGGUGAAAGCCCAGGGCUCAACCUUGGAAAUGCCUUUGAUACUGGCUAUCUUGAGUAUGGGAGAGG
Molecule: ribosomal RNA, 583 nt
Filed under: uncultured Caulobacter sp.
Lineage: Bacteria; Pseudomonadati; Pseudomonadota; Alphaproteobacteria; Caulobacterales; Caulobacteraceae
Description: bacterial SSU rRNA
Rfam family: Bacterial small subunit ribosomal RNA
Source: RNAcentral